AUUGAACGCUAGCGGCAUGCCUUACACAUGCAAGUCGAACGGAGUGGCGAACGGGUGAGUAAUGUAUCGGAACGUGCCUAGUAGCGGGGGAUAACUACGCGAAACCGUAGCUAAUACCGCAUACUAUUGGAGCGGCCGAUGUCGGAUUAGCUAGUUGGUGGGGUAACGGCUUACCAAGGCGACGAUCCGUAGCUGGUUUGAGAGGACGACCAGCCAACAUGGGACUGAGACACGGCCCAGACUCCUACGGGAGGCAGCAGUGGGGAAUUUUGGACAAUGGGGGAAACCCUGAUCCAGCCAUCCCGCGUGUGCGAUGAAGGCCUUCGGGUUGUAAAGCACUUUUGGCAGGAAGGCGGUACCUGCAGAAUAAGCACCGGCUAACUACGUGCCAGCAGCCGCGGUAAUUC
This 407-nucleotide ribosomal RNA is filed under the name uncultured bacterium. Its description in RNAcentral is "partial 16S ribosomal RNA". It matches the Rfam family "Bacterial small subunit ribosomal RNA", at positions 30 to 526 of the family's 1533-position model. The record is from RNAcentral.